AACGCGAAGAACCUUACCUACUCUUGACAUCCAAAGAAAUUUUCAGAGAUGAAAAUGUGCCUUCGGGAACUUUGAGACAGGUGCUGCAUGGCUGUCGUCAGCUCGUGUUGUGAAAUGUUGGGUUAAGUCCCGUAACGAGCGUAACCCUUGUCCUUAUUUGCCAGUGCGUAAUGGCGGGAACUUUAAGGAGACUGCUGGUGAAAAACCGGAGGAAGGUGGGGACGACGUCAAGUCAUCAUGGCCUUUAUGAGUAGGGUUACACACGUGCUACAAUGGCGAAGACAAAGGGUCGCAAAACGGUAACGUGAAGCAAAUCCCAGAAAGAUUGUCUCAGUUCGGAUUGGAGUCUGCAACUCGACUCCAUAAAGUAGGAAUCGCUAGUAAUCGUGAAUCAGAAUGUCGCGGUGAAUACGUUCUCGGGUCUUGUACACACCG
Molecule: ribosomal RNA, 435 nt
Filed under: uncultured bacterium
Lineage: Bacteria
Description: bacterial SSU rRNA
Rfam family: Bacterial small subunit ribosomal RNA
Source: RNAcentral